GUAGGAGGACCAGCACACAUACUAAAAUGGAAUAAUACAGAGAAGAUUAGCAUGGCCCCUGUGCAAGGAUGACACACAAAUUCAGGAGGACCUAUUACGCUGCU
Small nuclear RNA from Nycticebus coucang (slow loris), 104 nucleotides. NCBI's taxonomy places the organism in Eukaryota, Metazoa, Chordata, Mammalia, Primates, Lorisidae. The record is from RefSeq and is a predicted model, not a curated record.